Molecule: ribosomal RNA, 375 nt
Filed under: uncultured bacterium
Lineage: Bacteria
Description: bacterial SSU rRNA
Rfam family: Bacterial small subunit ribosomal RNA
Source: RNAcentral
UAAUACAGAGGGUGCGAGCGUUAAUCGGAGUUACUGGGCGUAAAGGGCGCGUAGGCGGAUACAAGAGUGUGAUGUGAAAGCCCUGGGCUUAACCUAGGAAGUGCAUCGCAAACGCUGUAUCUGGAGUAUAAGAGAGGGUGGCGGAAUUUCCGGUGUAGCGGUGAAAUGCGUAGAGAUCGGAAGGAACGUCGAUGGCGAAGGCAGCCACCUGGCUUAAUACUGACGCUGAGGCGCGAAAGCGUGGGGAGCGAACAGGAUUAGAUACCCUGGUAGUCCACGCUGUAAACGAUGAGGACUAGAUGUUGGUAGGGGAACCUAUCAGUAUCGAAGCUAACGCGAUAAGUCUUCCGCCUGGGAAGUACGGCCGCAAGGUUG